UCUUAUAGCAUGCAUAUUUAUCUGGAACACAAAAACUCUAUGUUUUUGGAAGCUAAGCAGGGCCAGACUUGAUUAGUACUUGGAUGGGAGACCAUCAAGGAAUAGCAGGUGCCAUAGGAU
RNAcentral lists this ribosomal RNA (120 nucleotides) under Anolis carolinensis (green anole). The record is from RNAcentral. Lineage: Eukaryota; Metazoa; Chordata; Lepidosauria; Squamata; Anolidae.